This 229-nucleotide ribosomal RNA is filed under the name uncultured bacterium. RNAcentral's name for it is "partial 16S ribosomal RNA". It matches the Rfam family "Bacterial small subunit ribosomal RNA", at positions 568 to 796 of the family's 1533-position model. The record is from RNAcentral.
UGCGUAGGUGGAAUAUUAAGUCAGUGGUGAAAUCCUGCGGCUCAACCGUAGAACUGCCAUUGAUACUGAUAUUCUUGAAUGUAGUUGAGGUAGGCGGAAUGUGUAAUGUAGCGGUGAAAUGCUUAGAUAUUACACAGAACACCGAUUGCGAAGGCAGCUUACUAAACUAUGAUUGACGCUGAGGCACGAAAGCGUGGGGAGCGAACAGGAUUAGAUACCCUGGUAGUCC